This 784-nucleotide ribosomal RNA is filed under the name uncultured euryarchaeote. Its description in RNAcentral is "bacterial SSU rRNA". It matches the Rfam family "Archaeal small subunit ribosomal RNA", at positions 141 to 922 of the family's 1478-position model. The record is from RNAcentral. Lineage: Archaea; Methanobacteriati; Methanobacteriota.
UGAGGANAAUCCCGGAUAGGCGAUGGACGCUGGAAUGCCUCANCNNNNNNAGCUCCGGCGCUCGAGGAUGAGACUGCGGCCUAUCAGGCUGUUGGUGGUGUAACGGACCACCAAACCUACGACGGGUAUGGGCAAUGGGAGUUGGAGCCCAGAGAUGGGGACUGAGACAAGGCCCCAGGCCCUACGGGGCGCAGCAGGCGCGAAAACUCCGCAAUGCGCGAAAGCGUGACGGGGGAACCCCAAGUGCCGUUGGUCUUUUGAUCGACGGCUUUUUGGAAGUCUAAGAAGCUUCCAGAAUAAGGGCUGGGCAAGUCUGGUGCCAGCCGCCGCGGUAGUACCAGCAGCCCAAGUGGUGGUCGCGUUUAUUGGGCCUAAAGCGCUCGUAGCCGGGUCUGUAAGUCCCUUGUGAAAUCGGACGGCUCAACCGUUCGGCGUGCAAGGGAGACUGCUAGCCUUGGAACCGGGAGAGGUCGGGGGUACUUCGGGGGUAGCGGUGAAAUGCUGUAAUCCCUGGGGGACCACCAGUGGCGAAGGCGCUCGACCAGAACGGAUUCGACGGUGAGGGGCGAAGGCUGGGGGAGCGAACGGNAUUAGAUACCCCGGUAGUCCCAGCUGUAAAGGAUGCGGGCUGGGUGUCAGGUGCCCUUCGAGAGCACCUGGUGCCGUAGGGAAGCCGUUAAGCCCGCCGCCUNGAAGUACGGUCGCAAGGCUGAAACUUAAAGAAAUUGGNGGGGGAGCACCACAAGGGGUGGGACCUGCGGUUUNANUNGGAGUCNACGCCGGG